UGUAUUCAUGACCAAUCCCACCUUGCCA
Molecule: small RNA, 28 nt
Filed under: Bombyx mori (domestic silkworm)
Lineage: Eukaryota; Metazoa; Arthropoda; Insecta; Lepidoptera; Bombycidae
Description: ovarian small RNA-35529
Source: RNAcentral